RNAcentral lists this ribosomal RNA (230 nucleotides) under uncultured bacterium. Its description in RNAcentral is "partial 16S ribosomal RNA". It matches the Rfam family "Bacterial small subunit ribosomal RNA", at positions 564 to 791 of the family's 1533-position model. The record is from RNAcentral.
AGCGUGCGCAGGCGGUUAUGUAAGACAGAUGUGAAAUCCCCGGGCCUCAACCUGGGAACUGCAUUAGUGACUGCAUAGCUGGAGUACGGCAGAGGGGGAUGGAAUUCCGCGUGUAGCAGUGAAAUGCGUAGAUAUGCGGAGGAACACCGAUGGCGAAGGCAAUCCCCUGGGCCUGUACUGACGCUCAUGCACGAAAGCGUGGGGAGCAAACAGGAUUAGAUACCCCCGGU